Molecule: long non-coding RNA, 339 nt
Filed under: Nicotiana benthamiana
Lineage: Eukaryota; Viridiplantae; Streptophyta; Magnoliopsida; Solanales; Solanaceae
Description: long non-coding RNA (NBEN_LNC033797)
Source: RNAcentral
CCAACUUCUGUCAAAAGAUGCUAAAACCUUCUAGAAACAUCUAAAUCUUGCAUACGUCUAAGUCCAAAAUCUUCAUACGGACCUUCCGGGGCCACCAAAACUCCGAUCCAGGUCAAACACACAAAAUCAAACUUGGUCAACUCCAUCAACUUCAAACUUCUUAAAUGAGAUUCAUCCUUCAAAGUUAAUUCCGAACAACUCAAAAACCAAAUUUGAUGAUGCACGCAAGUCAUAAUGCACUAUGUGAAGCUACUCAUGACCACAAAAUGUCGAACUGAAGGCAAUUGCUCAAAAUGCCCGACCAGGUCGUUACAGACUCAUUAAUUUCCUUUGAAUUUU